RNAcentral lists this ribosomal RNA (467 nucleotides) under uncultured bacterium. RNAcentral describes it as "bacterial SSU rRNA". It matches the Rfam family "Bacterial small subunit ribosomal RNA", at positions 355 to 825 of the family's 1533-position model. The record is from RNAcentral.
UAAGGAAUAUUGGUCAAUGGAGGCAACUCUGAACCAGCCAUGCCGCGUGCAGGAAGAAGGCCCUAUGGGUCGUAAACUGCUUUUGAACAAGAGAAAACCCCGGUACGUGUACUGGGUUGAUAGUAUUGUUAGAAUAAGCAUCGGCUAACUUCGUGCCAGCAGCCGCGGUAAGACGAAGGAUGCAAGCGUUAUCCGGAUUCAUUGGGUUUAAAGGGUGCGUAGGCGGACUGAUAAGUCAGUGGUGAAAUCUCUCGGCUUAACCGAGAAACUGCCAUUGAUACUGUACGGCUUGAAUUAGGAUGAGGUUGGCGGAAUGUGACAUGUAGCGGUGAAAUGCUUAGAUAUGCCAUAGAACACCAAUUGCGAAGGCAGUUCACUAAGUCGUAACUGACACUGAUGCACGAAAGUGUGGGGAGCAAACAGGAUUAGAUACCCACGUAGUCCCUGAGCGGGCUGGCAAGGCGCAU